CGCGAGGUAGCAAUACUUGGCGGCGGCCGGCGCAAGGGUGCGUAACGCGUGAGCAACAUGCCCGUAUCAGGGGGAUAAUCCAGGGAAACUUGGUCUAAUACCCCAUAGUAAUUUUGUAAGGCAUCUUAUAAGAUUUAAAGCUUUGGUGGAUACGGAUUGGCUCGCGUGACAUUAGCUGGAUGGUAAGGUAACGGCUUACCAUGGCUAUGAUGUCUAGGGGUUCUGAGAGGAAGGUCCCCACACUGGAACUGAGACACGGUCCAGACUCCUACGGGGGGCAGCAGUGAGGAAUAUUGGACAAUGGAUGGAAAUCUGAUCCAGCCAUGCCGCGUGAAAGGAAGAGGGUCCUAUGGAUUGUAAACUUCUUUUGUAUGGGAGCAAUAAGGCCUACGAGUAGGUUGAUGAGAGUACCAUACGAAUAAGCACCGGCUAACUCCGUGCCAGCCGCCGC
RNAcentral lists this ribosomal RNA (451 nucleotides) under uncultured bacterium. Its description in RNAcentral is "bacterial SSU rRNA". It matches the Rfam family "Bacterial small subunit ribosomal RNA", at positions 70 to 518 of the family's 1533-position model. The record is from RNAcentral.